This 500-nucleotide ribosomal RNA is filed under the name uncultured bacterium. RNAcentral describes it as "partial 16S ribosomal RNA". It matches the Rfam family "Bacterial small subunit ribosomal RNA", at positions 29 to 523 of the family's 1533-position model. The record is from RNAcentral.
AUUGAACGCUGGCGGCAUGCCUUACACAUGCAAGUCGAACGGCAGCACGGGAGCAAUCCUGGUGGCGAGUGGCGAACGGGUGAGUAAAGUAUCGGAACGUGCCCAGUCGUGGGGGAUAACGUAGCGAAAGCUACGCUAAUACCGCAUACGAACUAUGGAUGAAAGCGGGGGAUCGCAAGACCUCGCGCGAUUUGAGCGGCCGAUAUCAGAUUAGGUAGUUGGUGGGGUAAAGGCCCACCAAGCCGGCGAUCUGUAGCUGGUCUGAGAGGACGGCCAGCCACACUGGGACGGAGACACGGCCCAGACUCCUACGGGAGGCAGCAGUGCGGAAUUUUGGACAAUGGGCGCAAGCCUGAUCCAGCAAUGCCGCGUGCAGGAUGAAGGCCUUCGGGUUGUAAACUGCUUUUGUACGGAGCGAAAAGGCUCUCACUAAUCCUGGGGGCUCAUGACGGUACCGUAAGAAUAAGCACCGGCUAACUACGUGCCAGCCGCCGCAGUAA